CCUCACUGUUCUCUGGACAUGCACCCUGGACAUUCUCUGUGUCCCAAAUCAUGACUCAAGCCCUGUCUCUGCCAUGUUCUACCAGCAGCAGCCGAGGAUGGGCAUAUCAUCCCCCUAAGCCUCAGUUUCAUCAUCAGCAAAUAGGGAGAGUAAGAAUCCCAACGGCACAGGCUUGUCAACUGAGGAUUGAAUGAGGUCAUCGAUAUACGGGAAAUUCCUCGCCUCUGGACCGCACCCGCCCUUGAACACCUCCCGAUCUCUUUGGGCAGAGUGCAAGCCAGACAGAGCUGGGGACAGUGAAGUGGCCAUCCUCAGCCCUGUGUGUGCCAGGAGCCCCCUCCCAGGGAGUGGGGGGCAGGUGGCCCCGCUGCAGGAGGGCAGGGGCGGCAGAGGGAGCCUGGCAUGGGCGGCUGGGACAGAGUCCUUCUUAAAGGAGAGUACAUCAUGAGAAACGCUGGGCUGGAAGAAGCACAAGCUGGAAUCAAGAUUGCCGGGAGACAUAUCAAUAACCUCAGAUAUGCAGAUGACACCACCCUUAUGGCAGAAAGUGAAGAGGAACUAAAAAGCCUCUUGAUGAAAGUGAAAGAGAAGAGUGAAAAAGUUGGCUUAAAGCUCAACAUUUAGAAAACUAAGAUCAUGGCAUAGUCAAUAAAGCAGAAAUAGAUGUUCUUCUGGAACUCUCUUGCUUUUUCCAUGAUCCAGCGGAUGUUGGUAAUUUGAUCUCUGGUUCCUCUGCCUUUGCUAAAACCAGCUUGAAUAUCUGGAAUUUCAUAGUUCACAUAUUGCUGGAGCCUGGCUUGGAGAAUUUUGAGCAUUACUUUACUAGCAUGUGAGAUGAGUACAAUUGUGUGGUAGUUUGAGCAUUCUUUGGCAUUGCCUUUCUUUGGGAUUGGAAUGAAAACUGACCUUUUCCAGUCCUGUGGCCACUGCUGAGUUUUCCAAAUUUGCUGGGAUAUCGAGUGCAGCACUUUCACAGCAUCAUCUUCCAGGAUUUGAAAUAGCUCAACUGGGAUUCCAUCACCUCCACUAGCUUUGUUCGUAGUGGUGCUUUCUAAGGCCUACUUAACUUCACGUUCCAGGAUGUCUGGCUCGAGCUAUUUGGAAGGAAAGUUAUGACCAACCUAGAUAGCAUAUUGAAAAGCAGAGAUAUUACUUUACCAACAAUGGUCCAUCUAGUCAAGGCUAUGGUUUUUCCAGUGGUCAUGUAUGGAUGUGAAAGUUGGACUGUGAAGAAAGCUGAGCGCGAAAGAAUUGAUACUUUUGAACUGUGGUGUUGGAGAAGACUCUUGAGAGUCCCUUGGACUGCAAGGAGAUCCAACCAGUCCAUCCUAAAGGAGAUCAGUCCUGGGUGUUCAUUGGAAGGACUGAUGCUGAAGCUGAAACUCCAAUACUUUGGCCACCUCAUGUGAAGAGUUGACUCAUUGGAAAAGACUCUGAUGCUGGGCGGGAUUGGGGGCAGGAGGAGAAGGGGACGACAGAGGAUGAGAUGGCUGGAUGGCAUCACCGACUUGAUGGACAUGAGUUUGAGUGAACUCCGGGAGUUGGUGAUGGACAGGGAGGCCUGGCGUGGUGUUAUUCAUGGGGUCGCAAAAAGUCAGACACAACUGAGUGACUGAACUGAGCUGAACUGAAGUUCCCUCAUGCCUGCACCUAGUCAGGCCCCACCCCUGAGAUGACCAAGAUCUGAUUUCUAUCCCCAUAUUCAUUGGAAGGACUGAUGACUGUUGCUGAAGCUUAAACUCCAAUACUUUGGCCAUCUGAUGUGAAGAACUGACUCACUAGAAAAGACCCUGAUGCUGGGAAAGAUAGAAGGCGGGAGGAGAAGGGGACAACAGAGGAUGAGAUGGUUGGAUGGCCUCACCGGCUCAUUGGGCAUGAGUUUGCUUAAGAUCCAGGAUUUGGUGAUGGACAGGGAGGCCUGGCGUGCUGCAGUCCAUGGGGUCACAAAGAGUUGGAUGCCACUGAGCUCACGGUCUGGGCGUCUCUCACCGCCUCCCUCCUGGACCUCGAAGGGAAGGGGGAGGUCUCACCUCCAGAUUGGGAAAUUUGAUACCGGGAAUCUAAGUGACUUAUUCACCUAAGUUUGAUAAUGUGCCUUCGUGAGAUUUCCCUUGUGUUUAUCCUACUUGGGGCUCAUUCAUCAACUUUGGAACAGUUUUUGUCAUUACUUAUCCUAUCCCAACUAUUGUGUCUCAAAGAUGGUCUGCAGGGAACCAUCUGGGAGCUUGUUAAUGACGCCCCACCCAAAUAAGAAUCUCCUGGGAGUCUGUUUUGAACAAGUUCCUGGCUGAGUCUUCGGCGUACUGAAGGGAGACCACUUCAAGGAGUCCAUGAGUGCUCCAACUCAGGGCCUAGGUGUCACGCCUCUCUGUCCCUGAAGGGCCUCACUGUUGAAUGGAACACUCAGCUGCAAGAGUUUCUCUUCAUUCACUGAGUCAGCAAGAUUGGUGCCAUCUGCCUUCCCAUGCUACUAAAGCCCGACGCUGAAACUUGGACUCAUGAAUUUCAGGCACCAGGUAGCAGAGGAAAGAGACUCCUUGGGGGCUUUAAGAGGCUCCCCCAAACCCACCAAGGACGCUUCUGGGGAAAGCACGCCUGCUGACAUAACCACAUGACUGGGCGUGGGGGGAACUUCCUCGGUGACGCAGUGGUAAAGAAUCCGCCUGCCAAUGCAGGAGACAUGAGUUCGAUCCCUGGUCUGGGAAGAUCAUACUGUGGGGCAACUAAGCCAGUGCACCACCACUACUGAGCCUGUGCUCUAGAGCCUGGAAACUGCAACAAGAAACACCCACAGUGAGAAGCUUGUGUACCGCAACUAGAGAGUAACGUCUGCUUGCUGCAACUAGAGAAAAGCCUGCACAGCAACAAACGCCCAC
This is a long non-coding RNA of Budorcas taxicolor (takin), 2876 nucleotides long. RefSeq lists it as uncharacterized. The transcript has 7 exons. The record is from RefSeq and is a predicted model, not a curated record. NCBI's taxonomy places the organism in Eukaryota, Metazoa, Chordata, Mammalia, Artiodactyla, Bovidae.